RNAcentral lists this ribosomal RNA (418 nucleotides) under uncultured beta proteobacterium Ch1S. RNAcentral's name for it is "bacterial SSU rRNA". It matches the Rfam family "Bacterial small subunit ribosomal RNA", at positions 213 to 622 of the family's 1533-position model. Lineage: Bacteria; Pseudomonadati; Pseudomonadota; Betaproteobacteria. The record is from RNAcentral.
UUGCGCUUUUAGAGCGGCCGAUGUCUGAUUAGCUAGUUGGUGAGGUAAAGGCUUACCAAGGCUUCGAUCAGUAGCUGGUCUGAGAGGACGACCAGCCACACUGGGACUGAGACACGGUCCAGACUCCUACGGGAGGCAGCAGUGGGGAAUUUUGGACAAUGGGGGAAACCCUGAUCCAGCCAUNCCGCGUGAGUGAAGAAGGCCUUCGGGUUGUAAAGCUCUUUCAGCCGGAACGAAACGGUCACGGCUAAUACCUGUGAUCACUGACGGUACCUGGAAGAAGAAGCACCGGCUAACUACGUGCCAGCAGCCGCGGUAAUACGUAGGGUGCGAGCGUUAAUCGGAAUUACUGGGCGUAAAGCGUGCGCAGGCGGUUUUGUAAGUCAGAUGUGAAAUCCCCGGGCUUAACCUGGGAACU